Molecule: transfer RNA, 73 nt
Filed under: Bos taurus (domestic cattle)
Lineage: Eukaryota; Metazoa; Chordata; Mammalia; Artiodactyla; Bovidae
Also listed under: 2 other names
Rfam family: tRNA
About the family: Transfer RNA (tRNA) molecules are approximately 80 nucleotides in length.
Source: Rfam by way of RNAcentral
UCCCUAAUGGCUAAGAUGGUAAAGAAUCUGCCUGCCAAUGCAGGAGACACAGGUUCUGUCCCUGAUUGGGGAU